ACACUAUCAUUAACUGAAUCCAUAGGUUAAUGAGGCGAACCGGGGGAACUGAAACAUCUAAGUACCCCGAGGAAAAGAAAUCAACCGAGAUUCCCCCAGUAGCGGCGAGCGAACGGGGAGGAGCCCAGAGCCUGAAUCAGCAUGUGUGUUAGUGGAAGCGUCUGGAAAGGCGCGCGAUACAGGGUGACAGCCCCGUACACAAAAGCGCAUGUGCUGUGAGCUCGAUGAGUAGGGCGGGACACGUGGUAUCCUGUCUGAAUAUGGGGGGACCAUCCUCCAAGGCUAAAUACUCCUGACUGACCGAUAGUGAACCAGUACCGUGAGGGAAAGGCGAAAAGAACCCCGGCGAGGGGAGUGAAAAAGAACCUGAAACCGUGUACGUACAAGCAGUGGGAGCACAGGUUUACCUGUGUGACUGCGUACCUUUUGUAUAAUGGGUCAGCGACUUAUAUUCUGUAGCAAGGUUAACCGAAUAGGGGAGCCGGAGGGAAACCGAGUCUUAAUUGGGCGUUAAGUUGCAGGGUAUAGACCCGAAACCCGGUGAUCUAGCCAUGGGCAGGUUGAAGGUUGGGUAACACUAACUGGAGGACCGAACCGACUAAUGUUGAAAAAUUAGCGGAUGACCUGUGGCUGGGGGUGAAAGGCCAAUCAAACCGGGAGAUAGCUGGUUCUCCCCGAAAGCUAUUUAGGUAGCGCCUCGUGAAUUCAUCUCCGGGGGUAGAGCACUGUUUCGGCUAGGGGGCCAUCCCGGCUUACCAACCCGAUGCAAACUGCGAAUACCGGAGAAUGUUAUCACGGGAGACACACGGCGGGUGCUAACGUCCGUCGUGAAGAGGGAAACAACCCAGACCGCCAGCUAAGGUCCCAAAGUCAUGGUUAAGUGGGAAACGAUGUGGGAAGGCCCAGACAGCCAGGAUGUUGGCUUAGAAGCAGCCAUCAUUUAAAGAAAGCGUAAUAGCUCACUGGUCGAGUCGGCCUGCGCGGAAGAUGUAACGGGGCUAAACCAUGCACCGAAGCUGCGGCAGCGACACUGUGUGUUGUUGGGUAGGGGAGCGUUCUGUAAGCCUGCGAAGGUGGCCUGUGAGGGUUGCUGGAGGUAUCAGAAGUGCGAAUGCUGACAUAAGUAACGAUAAAGCGGGUGAAAAGCCCGCUCGCCGGAAGACCAAGGGUUCCUGUCCAACGUUAAUCGGGGCAGGGUGAGUCGACCCCUAAGGCGAGGCCGAAAGGCGUAGUCGAUGGGAAACGGGUUAAUAUUCCCGUACUUGGUGUUACUGCGAAGGGGGGACGGAGAAGGCUAUGUUGGCCGGGCGACGGUUGUCCCGGUUUAAGCGUGUAGGUGUGUGUUCCAGGUAAAUCCGGUUCACUUUAACACUGAGGCGUGACGACGAGGCACUACGGUGCUGAAGCAACAAAUGCCCUGCUUCCAGGAAAAGCCUCUAAGCAUCAGGUAACAUCAAAUCGUACCCCAAACCGACACAGGUGGUCAGGUAGAGAAUACCAAGGCGCUUGAGAGAACUCGGGUGAAGGAACUAGGCAAAAUGGUGCCGUAACUUCGGGAGAAGGCACGCUGACACGUAGGUGAAGUGAUUUACUCAUGGAGCUGAAGUCAGUCGAAGAUACCAGCUGGCUGCAACUGUUUAUUAAAAACACAGCACUGUGCAAACACGAAAGUGGACGUAUACGGUGUGACGCCUGCCCGGUGCCGGAAGGUUAAUUGAUGGGGUCAGCGCAAGCGAAGCUCCUGAUCGAAGCCCCGGUAAACGGCGGCCGUAACUAUAACGGUCCUAAGGUAGCGAAAUUCCUUGUCGGGUAAGUUCCGACCUGCACGAAUGGCGUAAUGAUGGCCAGGCUGUCUCCACCCGAGACUCAGUGAAAUUGAACUCGCUGUGAAGAUGCAGUGUACCCGCGGCAAGACGGAAAGACCCCGUGAACCUUUACUAUAGCUUGACACUGAACAUUGAGCCUUGAUGUGUAGGAUAGGUGGGAGGCUUUGAAGUGUGGACGCCAGUCUGCAUGGAGCCGACCUUGAAAUACCACCCUUUAAUGUUUGAUGUUCUAACGUGGACCCGUUACCCGGGUUGCGGACAGUGUCUGGUGGGUAGUUUGACUGGGGCGGUCUCCUCCUAAAGAGUAACGGAGGAGCACGAAGGUUGGCUAAUCCUGGUCGGACAUCAGGAGGUUAGUGCAAUGGCAUAAGCCAGCUUGACUGCGAGCGUGACGGCGCGAGCAGGUGCGAAAGCAGGUCAUAGUGAUCCGGUGGUUCUGAAUGGAAGGGCCAUCGCUCAACGGAUAAAAGGUACUCCGGGGAUAACAGGCUGAUACCGCCCAAGAGUUCAUAUCGACGGCGGUGUUUGGCACCUCGAUGUCGGCUCAUCACAUCCUGGGGCUGAAGUAGGUCCCAAGGGUAUGGCUGUUCGCCAUUUAAAGUGGUACGCGAGCUGGGUUUAGAACGUCGUGAGACAGUUCGGUCCCUAUCUGCCGUGGGCGCUGGAGAACUGAGGGGGGCUGCUCCUAGUACGAGAGGACCGGAGUGGACGCAUCACUGGUGUUCGGGUUGUCAUGCCAAUGGCACUGCCCGGUAGCUAAAUGCGGAAGAGAUAAGUGCUGAAAGCAUCUAAGCACGAAACUUGCCCCGAG
Molecule: ribosomal RNA, 2637 nt
Filed under: Salmonella enterica subsp. enterica serovar Enteritidis
Lineage: Bacteria; Pseudomonadati; Pseudomonadota; Gammaproteobacteria; Enterobacterales; Enterobacteriaceae
Description: partial 23S ribosomal RNA
Rfam family: Bacterial large subunit ribosomal RNA
Source: RNAcentral